ACAGGUAAAGACACAGACAGACAGAUGGACAGACAGACAGGUAGAGACACAGACAGACGGACAGAGACAGACAGAUGAAGACACAGACAGACAGGUAGAGACACAGACAGACAAACAGAUGGACAGACAGAAAGGUAGAGACACAGACAGGUAUAGACACAGACAGAUGGACAGACAGACAGGUAGAGACACAGACAGAUGGACAGACAGACAGGCAGACAGACAGGUAGACAGACAGACAGGCAGACAAACAGACAGACAGACAGACAGGUAGA
This is a long non-coding RNA of Labrus mixtus (cuckoo wrasse), 275 nucleotides long. RefSeq lists it as uncharacterized. NCBI's taxonomy places the organism in Eukaryota, Metazoa, Chordata, Actinopteri, Labriformes, Labridae. The record is from RefSeq and is a predicted model, not a curated record. The transcript has 4 exons.